Molecule: non-coding RNA, 1913 nt
Organism: Delphinapterus leucas (beluga whale)
Lineage: Eukaryota; Metazoa; Chordata; Mammalia; Artiodactyla; Monodontidae
Source: RefSeq, a predicted model, not a curated record
AUUUGGGAGGGAACUGAAACAGUGUAAAAAUUUCAACUCUAAAGAGAAGUUAGAAUAUCAAAUGAUUUAAAUAAGUCAUUAUAUUGGACUAUAAAUUUCAUAAAUAAGUUACUCUCAACAAAGCUCUUAAAUAAAAAAGUUUUUAUGAUCUUUUAAAUACCUGCAUUUAUAUUUAAUACUCUUUAAAAAUAUGAUUUUUUUCCCUGAAAUCUUACAGCCAGGAUUUAGUGUUAUGAGUAUAAUUAAUCAACUUCUAAUAGCAGGUUAAAUUCAAACUACUGAGGUUUCAGUCAGUAAGUUUAUGGAACAUUGUUUUUUUUCUCAUCUAGCUAACUUGUCCUUCAAAUUGAGUUGGUUUAGUGUUAUAUGUUACUCCCUGGGGAAAACCCUAAGGGAAUUGUUGGAGAAGAAUUAUGUUUUUCACCAGGCAGACAAAAGAUGAAUUCAGGCCCUCAGAGGAUCUCCUCGGGGUGUUUUCUGCUAAUGGUGCCAGAGCCCCAUGACCAGAAGGGAGCUGCACAGCUGAGACAUGGUACCCAGAGGGCCGCUUAGAUGUUGUACCUGCCACAAUAGACACUGAGAAUAGGGAUUAAGUCCAAGCCAAUCUUUCAAGGUAGUAUAUGGGGAAUGGCUACUUUGUUUUCAUUUAAUUUGAGUCUUGGCAUAGGGCAGGAUAUUUGGUGGCCUAUUGUCCUUCUACCUAAGUUAAAGGUAGGGUUGAGUUGAUUCAUUGUCUAGAGAAAAGAGGAGUGCAACCAACUACAAUAAAAGACCUCUGCUCAUGGGUAAUAUUUCAAUAAAUAUGUGUUCCCAGUCCAGGAGCAUCACUGAGUCUCCAUAAUUGGGGGUCUGAUAUUUACCAGCCUACAACAGUGAUGUGAGUUUGAUAAAGGCUCUCCACCCAUUUAAUUGUGAGUGAAUAUUAAACAGGAAUAUGAGUCAAAAGGAAAGGACAAAGAUGAAUAUCUACUUAAGACUGACUUCUCUCAAUUGCUAUUCAAAUUCUUAGGUACUUCUGCACUUUAAGGCCAUAUCAUUCCAAUAAUAGGCAACGAAGAUGAUUUAUUCCAUUUAUGUGGAGGCAGGGAAGCAAAGAUUCCAUGAGGCCAAGCGACUUACCCUGGGGAUAUGUGGAAGAAGUUGCCCAGCCAGAAAAGGGAAUCAGAGAAGGUUGGAAUCAGAGCCCUGUGUGUUUCCAAGUUAAGAAGAGACUCGUUCCUUACGUAUAAAAACAUUUCUGCUUCUCUUCAGAUUGAUAUAGUUGAGGGAAAGUGGUUUAUGUGUCCUCCUGAGACUCUCAAAAAUGUUAGCUAUUUGUUUCCAGGACCUGCAAUCACAAAUCAUGUGUCGGUAGUACUAACACUUCCAACUUUGAGUUCUAAAUUUACUUAGUAAAUUUCAGAUUGUUCCUAUAAAUGGAUUAAAAAUGGAAUUUAAUAAAAACAAUAAAAAUCAAAAGCAACAAAGAAAAUAAAAGAUUUUCUCCCUAAGCAGAUAAGUGAUUUACAUGUUUAUUGUGGUUUUACUUUUAGAUAUUUGUCUCAACAUUGUAACUUGUAAGGUAACCCACAGAUUAUUUUACAAUCUCCUCUUCUGAGUGUUUAAAGGGCACUCAGUAAAGACUUACUGGUUGAAACACAGAUACCCCUCCCAGUUAUAGAUCGACCAGUGACUAGUAUAGAAAGUUUUAUAAUUGAUAACACAGUGUAUACACAGCUACUUAUUCAAAUAUUCAGUUAAUAAAGCACAUUUACUGGUUUAACCAAGUAAGUUGUGAUUAGAAGAAUGAGCCAGAAUUAGCCAUUAUGACUUCAACUCAGUUAGCUUUGAUAAACACCUCGUGUGAUUUCUUCUUCAAAAGAUAAAACUUUGACAACAGGAGUCUGAUGUAUGACUUUUAAAAAACAGAAAGA